CAGUCGCCGCGGUAAUACGUAGGUGGCAAGCGUUGUCCGGAAUUAUUGGGCGUAAAGGGCUCGCAGGCGGUUUCUUAAGUCUGAUGUGAAAGCCCCCGGCUCAACCGGGGAGGGUCAUUGGAAACUGGGAAACUUGAGUGCAGAAGAGGAGAGUGGAAUUCCACGUGUAGCGGUGAAAUGCGUAGAGAUGUGGAGGAACACCAGUGGCGAAGGCGACUCUCUGGUCUGUAACUGACGCUGAGGAGCGAAAGCGUGGGGAUCGAACAGGAUUAGAGACCCCUGUAGUCCCUGUCUCUUAUAC
This 301-nucleotide ribosomal RNA is filed under the name uncultured bacterium. RNAcentral describes it as "partial 16S ribosomal RNA". It matches the Rfam family "Bacterial small subunit ribosomal RNA", at positions 509 to 807 of the family's 1533-position model. The record is from RNAcentral.